AGCGCAGGCGGGAAGGCAAGUUGGAAGUGAAAUCCAUGGGCUCAACCCAUGAACUGCUUUCAAAACUGUUUUUCUUGAGUAGUGCAGAGGUAGGCGGAAUUCCCGGUGUAGCGGUGGAAUGCGUAGAUAUCGGGAGGAACACCAGUGGCGAAGGCGACCUACUGGGCACCAACUGACGCUGAGGCUCGAAAGCAUGGGUAGCAAACA
Molecule: ribosomal RNA, 207 nt
Filed under: uncultured bacterium
Lineage: Bacteria
Description: partial 16S ribosomal RNA
Rfam family: Bacterial small subunit ribosomal RNA
Source: RNAcentral